Molecule: small RNA, 622 nt
Filed under: Pan troglodytes (chimpanzee)
Lineage: Eukaryota; Metazoa; Chordata; Mammalia; Primates; Hominidae
Description: processed transcript
Source: RNAcentral
GCUUUUCCGCUCCUCGCGCCCCACCACCAACAUUGUUCUCUCAGGACUCCUGGGUCCCAGGGGCCGGAAUUGGGCCUGAGCGGGAGAGGAAAGAGACUUGGCUUUGGCCGAGGGGUCGGAGGAUUGGGGCCAGGCCCCCUCCCCCACGCACUUUUGGGGGUGUGGAUUAUCUCAUCCCUGCAGGGAGGUAGGAGAGGUCGCCGGCUGCCCGCCUCCGUGCCACCUCCCCAGCGGCGCCGGCCCGCGGCUGCCCAGCAGCAUGAGGUGGUGCUGGCGGCUCCGGGUCGUGGCGCGACCGCUGCGGCGGCGGCUGCUCGGGGGGCGCUGAGGUAGCCCCCCGGAGCGGCACGGCGGACGCGCUUCUCCUCUGCGCGCCGGGGCCUCGAGGCUUUUUUCUCCAGCCGAGAGGACGCGGCUGUGAUAUACGAAGCUGGAGCUCUCUGCUAUCUACUGUAAGCAUUGCCUGCUGCCAUGUUUCCUUACUGUGUUUUUCCGUGAUUGCUGGGAUACCACCUGCUUAUCUGACCUCUACGAUGCUAAGGACCUGCUUGCCUGGAUCACUGCUUAUUGUCUGACUUUGUGUGGACAGUAAUGACCUCACGUUUCCGAUUGCCUGCUGGCA